GAACUUGGUUGACCCUCCGCAGUUUCCUCCUUGCUGUCCCGGGACGCCGUCCUAAGGGAGGAAAUUAUCUCAAAACCAAGGUUGAAUUUUAGCCUCCUUCCCUGGGGUCCCCCAGCGGUGACAGCUCCUGGCAGGGAGUCAUCUCUGGAUAAAGUCCUUGGGCCUCCUGCCUGAAGAUGACCUCUUGGGGCCAUCUCAGCCCCCAGAAGCGCCCUCCAAGGAUGAGGAGGGCCCCAGAAACUUUGGCUCCUUCUGAACUGAACUAUCGGGGUGUCCUGGAUCAGCUCCGGCAAGAGUUCCCCAGGUUCCCCCCUCACCUGACGGCGC
Callorhinus ursinus (northern fur seal) is the source of this 327-nucleotide non-coding RNA. NCBI's taxonomy places the organism in Eukaryota, Metazoa, Chordata, Mammalia, Carnivora, Otariidae. The record is from RefSeq and is a predicted model, not a curated record.